Long non-coding RNA from Serinus canaria (Common canary), 4404 nucleotides. RefSeq lists it as uncharacterized. Lineage: Eukaryota; Metazoa; Chordata; Aves; Passeriformes; Fringillidae. The record is from RefSeq and is a predicted model, not a curated record. The transcript has 2 exons.
AGAUAAAGAACGCCUGCUUUCUAAUGCUUCAAAAUGUGUUAGAAAGUUUAUUUGCCAGCCAAUUUUAGUAUCAUUCCCUUGCACGGGCUUACGUAUAGAGGGGGAGCUGAGAAAGUCCUGUCGGGAUUUGGGAGGGUUUGGAGUUCCUAGGAGAGAUUUGGGGGGGGUCCAUGGGGAGAUUGGGGGUCUCUCUCAGAGGGAUGCCAGCUCUCUGCCACUUUAACCACCCCGAGGGCCUCCCAAACCACAUGGGGACCCCCUCGACCCUCCUGCACCGCGAAGUCCCUUCUAGGACGCCCAGAACCACUCCAGCCCCCCUCCACUCCAAACCUUUCCCCGGGGAUCCCAAACAACCUCUCUGAGACCCUCAAAACAACCCCAGUGACUCCCAGAACUCCCUGGGCAUCUCUCAGCGCCCCCACACCCGCAAACCCCUCCAGGGACCCCAAUUGCGACUCCAAGGUCGCCCUCGGUGCCUCCGGAGGCCCCAAACGGCUCCGCGGAUGCCCAAACCGCUCCCGCGGACCCCCACCCCUCUCCCGCCGCACUCGGGAAGCGCCUUCUCCCUCCCCCGCCUCUCAUUGGCCUCAGCGCCGCCCGUCCCCGCCCUGAACCAAUCAGCGCCCGAGCUCGGAGCGCUGGGCAAAACCACACGAGAGCGCGGGCGAUGGAGAUGGUGAGGCUUGAGGGCUCCGGAGGGGACCGAGGGGGGAAUUUGGGGGCUCGGGAGGGCCCCCUGUCACUUCCUGCAUACCUCCUGCAGAGGCUCAGCCUGGAGCAGCGAACGGAGUGUAUGGUGCAAAGGAGGUGGGAGAGCAGCCAGGCCUCAAAGUGUCCCUCGGGAUCCCCGAGUGCCCCAUGGAGGCCCCAGCCUACUCCCCCGUUCCCUCAGUGUCGUCCCGGACUGCUCCCCAGACCCCCAAAUGCCGCCCCAGACCCAUAAGCGCCUGCCAUUUCUCUCCCUUGCCCCAGUGUUCCCCAGAGCGCCUCGGGGACCCCCAGCUACCUCACCCGAUCCCAGCUGAUCCCCCGGACCCCGCAUUGUGCCCGCAAGUGCGUCCCGCAGCCCCUCAAACUCCUCCCGAGAGCACCAGCCCCGCGGGGUCAGUGCAGGGUCAAUAUUUCGGGGGUCCUCGCCCCUUCCCAACCCUCUCCUCCCUCCACCAGCCAGGCCCUGCUCAGGCCCCGCCCCCGCGGGCCAGAAGGGGCGAAGCCUCUGCUCGGCUCUACCGCCUGCAGCUCCACCCUCGAUGACCCCCUCGUCGAAAUGGCGCUUGAGGCGGUGCCAAGGGGAGGAGCCAGCGCUGGGACACGCCCUUGAGGGGCAGGGCCCUGCUGGGCUCUGCUGCUCCCCAGGGUUCCCUGCAAGAGCCACCGGGGAGGUCACGUGAUUCCCCCAGGACCUUGCAGGGGGCGGGGCCCUGGCAGUCACAUGACCCACCAGAGGCUCCAUGGCCAAUCGGGAGACACUUCUGCAAGCACCAGGGGGCGUCUUCAGCGCAGGCCGUCUCCCCAGAACCCUUGUGGCAUCAUCCACGUUGGAGGCCACAUGACUCCCACAAGACCCUCUGGCCAAUGAGGAGCAGCUCUCUGGAUACCCUGCAGGGGGCACUUUACUCACAGUCACGUGACUCCCACCAUGCCCCGCAGCAAGUCAGCAGCAGCUGCAGUGCACCCCUGCACCAGGGGGCAUGACCCGCUGGGAAGCGAGAGUCCCAUGCGCAUUUGCUGCAAGAGUCAUUUUGGGGGUCACAUGACUUCCUCGGGGCUCUGCGGUGUGCGCCAUAUUGGAAAUCAUGCCCUCUUGGGGACCCCCUCCUCUGGAUUCUGCGAUGCCACCGCCGGGCCAUAAGAGGAUGUCUUCGGUAGGACAUCCCCGCCCCCGGAUUUCAGGGCUCUGCCCCUGCGCCUCCCUCAGCUCCCCCUAACUCCCUGUUUGCUCUCCUUCUCCCCCACAGGGAGUGGGGAAUGCCCACCUGGGCACCCCCAGCCCAUGGUAGGGCCAAUAAAGCAAUGACACCCCAAAAUUGCGCCAGGAAGGUGGGGAGACCCGCAGAACUCCCUCCCUUACCUUCCCCACCAUUGGGAUUGCCCCAAAUCCCCUCUCCCCCUAAAUGUCCCCAAGAACAUUUGAGGGGGUCUGGGGGCUCAAAAGCAGCUGUUGGUGGGGUGCUGGGUGUUUCUAGGGGGGUCCGUGAGGGUCUGUGGGGUGUUUGGAGGGGCUCUGAGCAGUGGAAAUCGGGAGUGGUUGGGUGGGCACUGGGUGUUUAUAGAGCGUUUAGAAGAGGUCUGUGGGAUUUUGGAGGGAGAUGCUUGGAGUGUUGGGGAAAAUCUGUGAAAGAUAUUGGAGGUCCAGGAAGGGGUUUGGGGGGGGCCCUUGGGCUUUGGACCGUCUUUAACGGUCCGGGGCUCUGUGGGAUGUUUUGGGGGGCCCAGGAGAGCGCUGGGGUGUCUGUGGGGACUAGGGAGUCUUUAUGGGCACCUUGGGGCUUAUUGGGCGCAUCGGGGCGGGGAACCCCAAACCCCUGGGAGUGGGGCUCACCUGUCUUUCUUCACUUUCACAUGGCCGACGUGGCGCGGGGGGACUCUGGUGUCCCUCCGCGCCUGAGUGCGCUGUGGGGGGUCAUGGGGGGCGUCAGAAGCUCCCCUGAGCCCCCCAAAAUCCCGCGGGCCCCCCGCCUCCCAUUGGCCGCUGGUUCCGCGCCAGUUUACUCACUUCCUGGACUACAACUCCCGAAAGACCGCGGGGCCCCGUAGGACGCUGAUAGAGCCGGGACUGCGGUUCCCGUCAUGCCCCGCGGCCCGUGAGGGGCCGUCAGAGCCGGGACUGUCCCCAAAGUACCUUCCCAGCUGCUCCCCAAGUGCUUCCCUGAACCGUAAGUGCCCCCCGGAGCCCCGUAAGUACCUCCAGUUUUCCUCUCCUGACCCUCAAGUGCCCCUUAGAGUCCCGAAGUCCGCCCGCUCCCCGUUCCCCUACUUGCCCCCAAAAUGCCCCCCGUGUGUCCCCUCGGACCACCGAGUGCUUUCUAACUGCCUCCCCGCCCCCUGAGCGCCCCUCCAGACCCUUUCAUGAUCCCGCAAGCACCCCCAGCUGGCCUCCAAGCGCCCUUCGAGUGUCUCCUGGGAAUUGGCGUGAUGACGACAAUGUAGAGAAAGACCCUGUCGCAGUAUCAGCAACAGUUCAGCCUUUACUUAAAAUUUGAAUCAAAACUGCAAUUGCCGAUGUGGGGGAUGCACAAGCCCCCCCGCCCUUUUUCGUGCCAGUCCGUGGUCCCUCUUGGAGCCAGGGAAAUUGCAGGAAAAGCAUUCCUGCGUGUUGUGCACAUCAAAAUUUUGUGGGAAUUGGGAACAGAGUCUGUGUGGUGAGCUUCCCUGACUGGUGCAGAUAAAUCCUAUCAGAUGAAGAACAGGUUGAGAGGACUUUGGGCACCUGGAGUAUACAGUCCUGUGGCCCCCCCCAAAACCCCAGAGACCCCCUCCAUCCCCUACAGACUCCCUGGUAGAUCCCAAAUACCCUCAGAAUCCCCUCAAAAUGCUCCAUAGAGUUCCGUCCCCAAAUGCCCCAUAAACCCUCAGAACCCUCCCAAAAUUCCUGAGGCUCUCUAAAAUAACCCAUAGAUCUGCCCACUCCCCUGUACCUCCAAAAGGGGCUAGCUCAGGGUAGGCACGGUUAGAUGGGAUAUUGGGAAUAAAUUCCUCCCUGUGAGGGUGGUGAGACCCUGGCACAGGUUGUCAAGAGAAGCUGCAGCUGCUCCAUCCCUGAAAGUGUCCAAGGCCAGGUUGGACAGGGCUUGGAGCAACCUGGGAUUGUGGAAGAUGCCCCUGCCUAUGGUUUGGGAUGGGUGACCUUGGCUGACCCAGGUGCCCCUCCUGGCUGCUCCAUCACUCAUGCUUCAGGAAGAGACAGCAAGAGAAAACCUGAUGAAAAAGCUCCUGGGGAAGAUGGGUUGAGGGGGUGUGAGUCCCUCAGGAACUGCUCCAGGUCCCUUUCCAUGGGCUGAGUCCUCAGUUGGAGGCAUUUCAGACAUGGAGGCAACACCUACCUCACUCCUGUUUUUCUCCAGGGCUGCAGGGCACCUGCUCUGCUCUGGCACCUGCAGCACUCACUUGGGGAGAUGCUCAAGGAGGAAGGACAACAGCAGUGAAAGGGACUUGGGAUGAAAGGAGGCAUCAGCAGAGUGAGGAACAUUUCCCAAGCUCUAGCUGGUGUCAGGUGAACUCAAACAGGAGAUUAGGUUUGAACCAGAAAGUGAAUUCUAAGAGUAAAUAGUGGAUUUACUCCUGUGGCAGGGAAUUCUCUGGAACAUGGAUUUGUUGCUUCAAAAUGUUUUACUUUCCAUAAUUUGUCUGUGCUUUGUUAUGCAAGAGGUCAUUGUUAUAAAUAAAGAGAUUACGAUAAUGCUA